Molecule: non-coding RNA, 37 nt
Filed under: Streptococcus pyogenes
Lineage: Bacteria; Bacillati; Bacillota; Bacilli; Lactobacillales; Streptococcaceae
Source: RNAcentral
AAUAUGUUUUAGCUAAGUCACUGUUCCAGCAGUGGCU